This 10489-nucleotide unclassified non-coding RNA is filed under the name Leishmania donovani. RNAcentral's name for it is "gene:LdHU3.15.1460(CDS-product:hypothetical_prote in_conserved)". The record is from RNAcentral. Lineage: Eukaryota; Euglenozoa; Kinetoplastea; Trypanosomatida; Trypanosomatidae.
GAAGGGGACGCGCAGACGUGCGUACGUGUGCGCCUGUCUUGUCUUCUUGCUUUCUCCCUUGCCUUGAGCGCACGCACGCAAGCGCCCUGCUGAUCUCUGCUUACCCAGUCACAACUCGCAGGGCGGCAUCGACGGGGGUGGAGCCUAUCGUCGUGGACGGUGGGGCAGCUGCUCGGCAGUCACUGCGCGCGCACAUCGCACACGUUUGGUCGCAGUUUUCUGAGCCCAUUCCACAAGGCUCCGCAUCCAAAACCGCCCGACGCCGCCAACGGCAUGCCACUCAUAGUGCAGCGCACGUACAAGCUGGGCGUUGGCAGCGCCACCGACGCAGACGCGCCCGCCUCGUCAACUUCGCCGUCGGUGGUGCCCAGUGCGCCGGAGGAGCAUGUGACGACACGCACAUGCCACCGCUGGAGCUACGUCGAUGCGUCGCGUCACGAGACGUGCAUUGUCACGCUGCAGGCGCACUAUUCUCUGCACGUGGAUGUCAAGGGCGAGGGCAGCACCGCCGCGACGUUAUCGCUGCAGCAGGCGGGUGGUUACCCGGAGGGGCCCAGCAGCGACGACGGGCUCUGCGGAUUCGCGUGGGAGUUCAUCUGGAUUCCAAGCCCGUGUCCGUCGUCUGAAGCAGCAGGCGCGGCGGCAGCAGUGACUUCAUCAAGCGGCGUCAUCAACGACGAGGCGGACCUGGAGGCACAGCAGCCAGCGCGAGCUCGCUUCUUUUUCCAUCGCACAACGUCACUCGCGCGGUCGACGCUGCAAGGCAUCGGCGGCGUUCUCUUCUUGAGCAGCCGGCACGUCCUGGUAGCCACGGAGACCCUGGAUGCAGCGGGCGCGGCCACAGGACCGGCAGCCACUUCGAGAGGAGCCCCAAACGAUCAGCUCCGUGAUGCCGCUCACUACAGCUUGAUGGACAGUUUUGUGCUGAGCAGCGGCGAUGCUGCUGCUGCGAGGUCUGCGUCUUGUGCGUGUUCAUGGAUUCGUGUCGCGGCGUCGGCAUCACUGCCUUGCCCGUUCGCCUCCCCACAGGCACCUCGUCAUGCCGGCACUACCUCGGCUCCCCCAUCGAGGCCUUCGACGGUGCUGCUGCUCGUCGCCGGAGUCCCACUGCGGCUUCCGCACCACACCUCUGCUGCCGCUGCGGCAGCACCACUCAUGCGCCUGGUUUACGUCUUUGCCCUCCUCGGCAGCUCGACAGGCGGCGGCAGCUCCGGCAAUGCCGAUCCGGAGCAUCGUGCGUGGGACGUGAUGGCAUGUGUGGCGGAUCUCUGUAGCAGCGGCGCCUCCGCAGACGACCCGCACUCACUGCAAGUUCGAGUACGGCACGCCGUGACGCUCCCGCUGCUUCGCUUAAGUGUGCAAAAGGUAUCAACGGAGGACGGCGUCCACCGCGGCGGCGGUGGUACCGGCUGGGCACACGCACGCGACGGCGCUGGUGGAGCGAACCGCACGCAGUCGACGUCCUCUCAGCAGCAGCAGUCGCUCGACCCGCAUGAUCUUCUUUGGGCUUUUGUGGAGGAUGAGGAUACCCGCACAGUACACCCGCUCCGUGGUGGACAGCUGUGCGGCAGCCUUGUGGCGUUGCUGCCCUGUUGUUGCGCCCCUGCCCGUACCUUAGUAGCGCCGCCCUUGCCUGCUGCGGCUUCGUCGCCGGUCGCCAACUCUGCGCCGUCGCCGCCGGCCGUCCUCUGCAUGGGCUUCAGGGGCGACACUCCGUACGGUGUGCUGGGGGUGUCCAGUGCCGAGCUGGACUCGUACGCAAAGGCGAAUCAGCAGCGGCAGCAGCAUCCAGGACGGGCCUCGCACUCAUCGGUGCAGGAGAUCAUCGAGCAGCUGUUGCCGUCACCAGAGCGUGCCGUGUACGAGCUUGCAGUAGGGGGCCUGACCAAGUGUAUUUGCCCGGCAGCCACCGUCGCAUCGCGAGCGGCACCAAUGUCCAUGACGGCGCUCCCCGCGCAUACAAGCCUCCUCAUGCUCAUCGUGGACGGCAUACACACACGCGGCAGCCGAGACAGUGCCGCGCAACAAGCGGGCGCAGCACGGGUCGUCGCGGCGCCGGCGGCCACGCUGCCUCAAGGCCUUUACCUCACGGAGACGCUGUCUUAUGAUGCCUUGGCGCAGCUGGCGAGCUCUGGAAGACCGGAGGAGGCGGUAGAGGGGCAGAAUUCGAGGGUGCGUGUCCACCACGUGCCACCCACCAGAACUCUAUGGCGCGGACUGGACCCGCUCGUGCUGUCAGUGCCGUCGGUGCCAACGAGCGCUGCGGGUAUCAUGGAUGGUGAAUGGGGCGACGAGGAUAGCACAACGCAGGGGAUGGCGCAGGCGGCCCAUCGCGACGUGCUCGCCUGGGACAUUGCUGAUGUGGGUCGCUGGAUGGAGUGGUUGUCAGAGACGGCGGGCGGUAGCGCAGAUGGCACGUACCGGAAGGAUCAUCACACAGCCCUCAUGGUGGGCGAGAGCGCUGCCGAGGCGGAGGGCACCGUCACAUCCGCCUCGCCCUCCUCCAUGGCAACAGUGACAGCGGUGGCGUCGCAUACGUGCGCAUCCUCCUCGACGGCCACCGCCGCUUCCGUUGUCCGCAGCUUCCCCUGCUUCAACGAACUCACCCACGAGCUCACGAUGCUGUGGUACUGCUGCAACGGCGCCGCGGGUCACAGUAGCGAGGAAGAGGAUCAAGCAGCCACCGAGCGGGCUGUCGCGCUUGUUCGGCCGCCCUUGUGGAAGCCGCGAACAGCAGCGAGCUCGCACCAGGAGUGGGAGGCGCAUGUGGCGGAGUGGGUGGCUGCGGAACAGGUGCGGGGACGUCUCCAUUCGUCCACCACGCCGCCAAGCGACGCCGGCGUCGCCGCCGCCACGUACCGGGCCAUGCGGAUGCUCUGGGCCUACGCUGUCCUGCAUGAGGCGAGACCGGCUUUGCCGCAGUGGCCAGGUGCGCUCAUGGAAGUGCUGCGCAGCACCGCCGCUGACGCCGCGGAGCAUCAGACGUGUCUCUACCUCUAUGCGCGCGCGGUACAGACCUUCACGGUAGCGCGCCUUGCGUCGAGCUACGGCGACGACACAGCCAAACUGGAGACGGAGGUGCGCCACAUGCGUCGAGCGGCGGCGGUCUUUCUCCGGCUGGUACUACGCACCCUCGCGGCGUUGGACUGGUGCGCAGGAGACGUGCUAGGGUGGAUGUGCUGCCAGUGGAUGGUGCGGUGGUUCCUCGGCAGUGGCGCCGGCGCUACUGCGGCAGAGGCCACACGCUCCCCGUCGCCCACCACCACCACCGCCUCCGUCGUGCAGGAACAGGCCGCUGCAGUGGAGGGGCGAGCGAUGCAAGUGCUUCUGCAGCUUGGCGCAGCGGCACGUGAGCCAGUGAGGAUCGAAGCGGCAUUCUCAUCGACGUCAUCGCCGCAGCGACCCCUGGACUGGCUACGGCGUGCGCUUCUUCUUUUCGCCUCUAGGAACAGGCAGCUGCCGCUGGAACUCACAGUCGAGGACAUCCUGGAGGCCUCAGGGGUGUUGCUGCAGCCAGAGACGGCACCGGAGGUAGCACUGGCCACUGUCGCCAGUGGUUGGAGUGAGGCGAGUGACGAGGAGGCCACCGCUGACGCGGCGCCUCCGUGGCCGACGCCCGACACAGCGGAGCUGCGCGAGUCGAUGGAGUACGCGCUGCUACGCCUGGCGAAGCCAGAGGAGCUGUAUCGCGUAGUACAUCACCUUGCACACGUCUCUCCCGCCACGUACCUGGAAAGGAGCUCCGCCUCCACGAGGACUAUACGCGGUCGAAGGCUUCGCGGGCUGCAACGGCUCGUUGUGCGCGGUGUGCUCACGGUAGCAGACCUGCACGCGCUCGUGUGUGCCGGCUGGGCAUCGGGGCGCCCUCACGACGCCGCCCCGCCUGGUGGCUUCACGUUCGUGUGCUACAUCGUAGACGUUGCCAUGAAGUUCACAUCAACGGUCUCACCGGCCACGACCGGUACCAUGAAAACUGCGGAGGCGUACGAGCGGCUUGUCAUCGCGGCACUGGAUACCUGGGGAGUACCCGGCAGCUAUGAAGACGGAGGGCAAGCGCAGGGGGCGAGUCAUGCACGGACAGAAGCGGCCGACGCUACAGAUCGGCGACCGGUCUACCCGCUGCUCAACACCCCCGAACUCGACGGCUUCGCGACCGCAGAAGCGACGACGGCGGUGCCGAUUCCGUUUCCUUUUACGCUUCUCGCGCCGCUCCUCACCGUGUACUUGUGGUACCACGUGACGCACCGUCUCUGUGCAGCGCUGCAGCUGCUUCCACCAGCGGCAUCGGAGGCCGCAGCAGGGAUACAGCCGGAGAAGACACCGGGCAUCGAUAUCGCCGACGAGCAGCAGCAUGCGCCGUGGCUGCGGCGUGCCAAACUGCGAGACGGUGCUCAUCUGCAGGCGCUUCACCGCGGCGUGUGUGUGCUGCGGUGCCUCACUCAGGAGGACGCGACCGCCACCGAGGAGCUCUUUGCCGCCAUGCGCCUCGUGUACAGCAGACCACAGCGAGAUUUCGGCCACCAGAGUGCACGCCAGCAGGGCGAGCACGCGGGAACGGCAAAGGUGAUGAAUUCAGCGGUGGCCGUGGGUGGUGAUACAGCGGUGGCGGCAGCCAGUGCCGUCGGCGGUUCGUGGGUGUCGCAGUAUCUGAUCGCCUGGCAUCAUCUUCUCCCGUUGGAGGCGCCGCCGCUGUGUUCAGCAGGUGCCCUGCUCGCCUAUCAGGAGCGCUGCUGCCACGCCGCUGCGCCCGCAGCACCGCAUAUUGGAGACGUCAUGCGCGUCUUGCACCUCGUGUACGCAAGCGCGGGCAGUGGACGUGUACUCCGCGCACAGGUCUCGCGGGCGAUGGGCUUGCAGCAGCAGGUAAGGAAGGAGGCGGCGGCAGAGGGGUAUGCUCACUCCUACGCGGCUUUCACGCGUGCUCUGCAGAGCUGGCGAACGAUCGCCCAGAAGCAGCAUCACCACAGUACUGAGAAACCGAGCGCGACUACGUCAACGAUGCGCAGCGGAGGUGUCGCCACGGGAGACGCGGUUGCCGCGUGGCUGGUGCAGAUUUGGGCCAACGUCCUGCUGUGCGACUCAGGGGCGGUCACCGAUGUUGGCAUGUACGAGCAUCUCUUCACUGCCCUGGCGCAUGCGAAGCAGCAAGGCGAGCAGCUGAGCACCACGGCCGCCGCCGCCGCCGCCGACGUGGCCUUUGCCCUGCUCAGGCCCUGCCUGCUGUACGCCCUGCCGGCUCUUGAGCAGCUCGCUGUGGAAGAGGAGCUGGAGAGCAGCAACGGCCACAGUAGCCGUACCCCAACGCCAGUCCCAUCUUACCCGCAGCACAACGAGCCGCUAACGUGGGGCGCGAGCGGCACGUCGCCGGACGGAGCAGAGGGGCCCCGUCACGGGCGUGCGCCGGAGCGGCUGUGCGCCGGCGAAGUGUGUGAGCGCGUGCGUCGGCAGCUGCGGCGCCUCGUCGACCUGUACGGCGUGCCUCCAUCAGCCUCGCCGGGCACCUCCCCCGCGCGGUGCGGCGAUGUUCGCUUCAGUACCUUGGCGCAGCUGAUGGCGUUGCAGCCGACGGCGUGGAACCUGGCAGCAGCGCAGCGGCGCGUCGCGCUGCGCAGCGUAAAACAAAGCGCGGCUCAACGCGGCGCGGAUGGGGACGAGGAGCCUGGACAGCCAUCAGCGUCGAGGUCACUCGCCGCCUCCACCGGCCGCAGUCCCAGAGACAGCAGCAGUAGCAGCAGCAGCAGCGCCGCUUCCUUCGGCGACGGCAACGAAUCGACGCUGGAGCUGCGCACCUUUUUUCUCUCCCCUGCAGCCACGUACGUUGCAGCCGCGGCAGCCGUCGCCAUGCGCCACACCACGAGUUACACGAGUGCUGGACAGGAUGAAGGCAGCCGUAAUUUCCCGCUGUGGCAGUCGCCGUCCGCUGCGCCGCCGCUGCCCGUUGGCUGGCUACUCGUGGCGUGCGAAGUCCUUCGCCGCGAGUUGCGCUGCUACAUCCUGGCAGAGCUUCGGAUGAGCGGCUACGUAGAGGAGUCAGCGGCUAUGCACGCAGCAGAGGCGGGCAUCGAGGACACUCCAGGUUGUACUGCUGCCGAGGCGGCCCCGCACCUCCCCCGUCCUCCGAUGCCGUGCUGGCGCCUCGUCACCUCCGAGGCGCAACUGAAGGCCUUUAUCAACGCGCUGGCAGACGCUGUGGAGCCGCUCACCGGUGCUUUUGUGCGGGCGAUGUCCUUCGCAGCCCUCCAACCGCUCGUGCUGCUGCUCGUCCUCGACGUCCUUCACGUGCUUCUGUACAACAACGCGCACACGCACGGCGUGGAGGACGCGGCGGACGGAACGACACAGCGCGGCCCAGCCGCCAAGCAAACAACGACCUCCGCGGUCAUGUGUGCAGAUGCCUCCAUCCUGCGCCUUCUUCGGCAGUGGAUCCGCGGCGUCGCGGCGCCGCUCUACCAAAACAUGGAGGAUUCUGGAAAAAAGGCGGUGUUGGAAAUCAUCACGGACAGCUUCGCGCGCGAGUACCUGACGGCGCCCCGCGGCGAGGGGGCGACACCUUCGCCGGGCAGCACCGCCCCAGUGUCAAGGAGUUACCUCGAGUCCGAUGUGCAUGUUGGAUGGCGUCAGUGGCGUAAAGAGGCCGCGGCACGCAACGUGAACGGGAAAGGGGUUGUGAUGCUCGAGUGUCUAAGUGCGUGCGUGGCGGCGGACCACCAGCAGCUGGUGCGCAUGGCUCUGCCGACGCCGAGUGACGACGAAGCACCACAACAGGCAGUUUAUGCGGUGCAGCCGACCGGUCCCGGCGCGAAGGUCGCCGGUAGCAGCGCUGCGGAUGCAGCAGCGGUCAUCGGAUCUACCUGGUUAGACGUCGGAAGUGCUCUGCGCGCCUCCCUCUUCAGCACCCUUGGCGCGAGCGUGGCCCCUCGCGCUGCGCAUCAGCGCCAGCAGCAACGUGCACAGACAUCCUCGCUCGUGGUGUCUCUUUCGCGCGGGGAAGCGCGGCCCGCCUCAGCAUCAGCGGCCGAAGCCCCACUGCCUUUCCCCACGCCCCAGCCGCUAGCAGCACCAACGAUAAUCUCUGGCGACGGCGGCAGCAGCAGAACCCUUGGCUUGGCGGUAGGCGGCACAGAUGAGCUGCACCUUCUCCGCAAAGAGGAGGCCUUCAAGCGACGCCAGUGUAGUGAGCAGCUCCUGCAUGAGCAGAAGCUGCUCUUCGCCUCUCCCGCCUUUCAGGGCAGUCUUCUCCAGCUGUAUGUGGCACUGCGGGCCGAAAAGCGUCGGAAGGAGCUGGUGGCCUUUGCGCUCGAUCAGCACGACCUCAUAUUUGCGCUGGCCCAUCGAGAGCAGCAGCUUCGCCUCGAUGAGGCGCGCGAGGCGCUGCGCCGCUCCUGGUGUGAGUGGGGAGAGCGGCAGCGGCUGGCGGUACGGCGGCUGCUGCAGGAGGAGCGUGACGCUCGUAUGGGGGUGCAGGCCAUCGGCUACGCUGCCUGGUCUCUCCUGCUCGAUGCGGAGCGGCAAGAGCGGUGUGUGCGGGUCCUGUACGAGGAGGGCCGUGCCGGCGUCAUGGCGCUCGAGGAUGACGCGCGAGAUGAGCUAGCGGUGGCUGCGGCUCGCGCGCACCUGGAGCUUACGAAGCUUGCCGCGGAGGCCGAGGAAGAAGCGUACUGGCAAGCAGAAGAGGCGGCCUGGGCACGCAUGCAAGAGGAAGAGCAGCAGGAGACAAGCAGGCACCAAAACCAAUCGCUGCCCGCGGUGCAGAGGCAGGGGAGCCGCAUGUCGUCCCUCUCGUGUGCAUCGUCAUCCUCCUCGGUAGACUCGCCGUUGAAGCCGUCGGCGGAUCCCCCCACCGCAGCCGCGGCAGUGGCGCACCCAAGAGUCGUCCGUGGGGGCGGCGCACGAGUCGUCGGUGAGGACAGCGGUCCUGCAGCGCGGAAGCACGUUCGGCGAGGCGGUCGCAAAGAGCGGGGCGGCGGCGCUGCUGCCGUGGUUGCCCUCCGCUCCCCACGCAGCGCUGUUGGCCUGCGAGAGGCAGGCGAUGCAGUCGCACCAACGCCGGCGAGGGCGGGAGCCACGGCAAUCACGUCAGUAGCGGCAGAGCAACACCAGCAGCAGGUGCCACCCCACAGUGCUUCGCUGGCGGCCCACUCGACGCACUCAGAGGACGAGGAAAACGUGGUACCGGGUUGGGGCGGCGGCCUGGCACAGGCCGCAGUGCAGUCGGCCAUUAGCGGCGCCGGCGGUUUCUUCAGCACCCUUUCGCACUGGCAAACGGCGCUGCGCGACACUGUCGCCCCUCCUCCGCCCGCAUGCGGCAGGGGAAGGGCUGCGGACAGGCAAGCAGCGGUGUCAGACGCACCUAGAGGCAGCACAGCUGGGCAGCUGUCAGUCGUUGCCGGCAUUGCCAAGGAAGCUGCUCCACCAGCACCCGUCGUCGUGCCGGACCCGGCGAGGAGCCGUGCGGCGCAAGCCGACGACUGGGGCUGGAGUUCCAACUCGGAUAAGGACAUAUCACCCGUCGAGGUUAAACCUCCUGAGUCGAAGGCUGAGGAAAACGAGUCGUGCGCCGCUACGACGGUGCCUCUGCCCUCCCGCAGCAUCGCACCUCUACGGAAAGCCUCUGCUAGCGGUGAGAUGUCGGUGGCGGCGGCACGAGCUCCGAAAGAACGUCCUCAGCAGGACGCCACAGCAGCGGCUGCGGCAGCAAGGCGGCCUCGAAAGAAGAAGGGGUUCGCCGCCGCUGCCGUUCUCGUCGAGCCUGUCUCCUCCGCCUCCGCUCACGUCGCACCGCUAGCGUCAUCUCUACUGCUGCCGCCGCAGCAGUCGGUGAAGCAGCUCCGUGGACAGCAGCAGCAGCGCCAUGCCUCCUCCCCGGACGACCCGGCCGCGCCGAACCCAGUGCGCAACAUCCUCUCGGCAAUCGAAGCGGCAGCCACGGAGAUGAUUUCAGAGCCCAAAGGAGCGCCGUCACCUGCAACACGGCCGGAACACGCACCACCGCGAUCACAACCGCAAGGCUUUCCAUCGUUGCGUGCCGCGCGCACUGGCUGGAGUGAGUCGUCAUCCGCAAGCAGCAGCAGCAGCAGUAGCCGUCACGGCGUCCCCUCUCCAUUGGGCGAGCCAGGCACACUUCCUUUAACAGCCACCGCGGCGCUAGACACAAAUGAAGGCGUCAAGGUGCGGGUGGGGAUAGAGGCGAAGCCCGACUCCGCUGCCGUGAAUGACAGGGAGGACUGGGGAUGGCGCGAUGACGAUGACGAUGCGGAAACGGGGCCCGGAGCUCGCAUCCACAGCGUGCAACCUGCGGUGGGAGUCGGCAGAGCAGCAGCAGCAGCAGCAGCAGACACAGUUCAUGAAGCAUCUUCGCCGCCACCGAUGGCGGGGGUGAAAGGCGAUGGAUGGGGGUGGAGCAACGAUGGCGUUCACGUGGGCGUAGCCGCAGAGGAGACACGCGAACCGUCCCCGCCUCCACGCACGGGCGGCGGCGUCAUUGCGACGGCCGCAGCAGCGCCGCCACCGUCCACACCUCUCUCCGACGUUGCCAAAAAUGUUGCCAAGGACGGGUGGUCGGGUGACGACGACCCUUUCGGCAGCGGCGUUGCCGUCGCGGCGGGCGGCAUAGGACUGAGUGGGGCACCGUCAGCCCUUUCGGGCUCCGCUGCAGAACCCACGACGAGAUUCACGAUGCUCGCAGACUUGCAGGAGAUGUACGCGGCGGAGAUGGAGAUGCGUGCACAGUUGGUGCAGCUCCUGUGAGGAUGUGCAGCCGCAACAACUGCGGCUGAGAAGCGACGAGAGGAGGCGGAGGAGGAGAGGAGGAGAGGAGGGGAGCUGGUGAGAGUCUACGUGAGAGAAGUGGCGGAGGACGCGAUGGCGGGUGGUGGAUACAAGAGCAGUCAUUUCGUUGGCGGUGAGGCUACCUUGAUGUACGUGUGCGUGUGUCUGUGCUCUCCUCUGCACAUGCACAUACACCUUCACUCACUGCCACCACGCCGGUGCCUCUAUCUCUUCUCCUUGCCGCAGUGGCCGCAGCGGAGGAGUUGGCAGAGUCAGAGUGGAGGCGAGACGCGUGAGGCGGUGAAACGGCAGAGGCGGGCGGUGGUCGCCCACCCACCCUCGAGAAAGCGACGGUGGGGAGAGGACGUGGAGAGAGAGAGAGGGGAGGAUUAUCCAUCAGAGGCUGGCGGACGGGAAGAAGACACACACACACACGCGCACACACACAAAGCCGAAAAAGUGAUUUCAUCGGAAGCACGGGAGAAGGUCAAGAGUGUGGCUGCGCUCUGUAGCGGUGGCGGUGCUCACCGCACCCCCGCCCCGCCCCGCAGACUCCGACGCUGCGCUUCACUCCGUCCUUCCGGCCCCCACUCAAGCACGGCGAAUGAGGGCAGCCAAAACAAAAAGCAAGCAAACGCAUGUCCAAAGUACGCCGCCGUGGCCUCCCCCCCCCCCAUCAGCCCUUUCUUCCUCUUUGUGGUUUCGGUGUACAUGGACACAG